GUGCUCGCUUCGGCAGCACAUAUACCGAAAUUGGAACGAUACAGAGAAGAUUUGCCCCAGCGCAAGGAUGACACGCAAAUUCCUGAAACGUUCCAUAUUUUU
Amblyraja radiata (thorny skate) is the source of this 102-nucleotide small nuclear RNA. Lineage: Eukaryota; Metazoa; Chordata; Chondrichthyes; Rajiformes; Rajidae. The record is from RefSeq and is a predicted model, not a curated record.